CAGCCGCCACGGGAAUACGUAGGUGGCAAGCGUUGUCCGGAUUUAUUGGGCGUAAAGCGAGCGCAGGCGGUUUCUUAAGUCUGAUGUGAAAGCCCCCGGCUCAACCGGUGAGGGUCAUUGGAAACUGGGAAACUUGAGUGCAGAAGAGGAGAGUGGAAUUCCAUGUGUAGCGGUGAAAUGCGUAGAUAUAUGGAGGAACACCAGUGGCGAAGGCGGCUCUCUGGUCUGUAACUGACGCUGAGGCUCGAAAGCGUGGGGAGCAAACAGGAUUAGAUACCCCGGUAGUCCCUGUCUCUUAUAC
This 301-nucleotide ribosomal RNA is filed under the name uncultured bacterium. RNAcentral's name for it is "partial 16S ribosomal RNA". It matches the Rfam family "Bacterial small subunit ribosomal RNA", at positions 509 to 807 of the family's 1533-position model. The record is from RNAcentral.